UGCCUACGGGGGGCAGCAGUGGGGAAUAUUGCACAAUGGGCGAAAGCCUGAUGCAGCAACGCCGCGUGAAGGAAGAAGGGUUUCGGCUCGUAAACUUCUAUCAACAGGGACGAAAGAAAUGACGGUACCUGAAUAAGAAACCCCGGCUAACUACGUGCCAGCAGCCGCGGUAAUACGUAGGUGGCAAGCGUUGUCCGGAAUUACUGGGUGUAAAGGGAGCGCAGGCGGGAAGCCA
This 235-nucleotide ribosomal RNA is filed under the name uncultured bacterium. RNAcentral's name for it is "partial 16S ribosomal RNA". It matches the Rfam family "Bacterial small subunit ribosomal RNA", at positions 335 to 585 of the family's 1533-position model. The record is from RNAcentral.